RNAcentral lists this long non-coding RNA (4324 nucleotides) under Marmota monax (woodchuck). Lineage: Eukaryota; Metazoa; Chordata; Mammalia; Rodentia; Sciuridae. The record is from RNAcentral.
CACAUUCUAUGCUUCGCUAAGCAUCUACUUUUACUAGGUAGAGGAAUUUUCAUCCAACCCCAUCUUACUCAUCCUUCAAUAUUCUCUGAGCCACUAAACUUACCCAAGUUCUCCUAUUGCCCCUACAUUAAAAUGGCCUAUGGGUGUGUCUGCUUCCUCCAUUAGAGAAGUAACUAAUCAAGGCAAAGGAACCGGUCUUUCUGGUCCUUGUAUUACUAACAGCUGACAAAAAUGUCUGUUCCUUAGGAGACUUGCAAUAACUCCAUAUUAUAUAUAACUAACUGAACUGGGCAAAUAUUUUCAUGUUCUCUUUCUCAGCAAGAAUUUAUAAAGCACUUACCUGAGCAUGGACAGUUCUUCCUCCCUGAGAAAGCAGACCUCCCCACAUACCCUUGAGUCAGCCCUGCCUGCCUCCUAGAGGCACUCAAUGAGACCUUGUCUGUAUUGCUAAUUUUCAAAACUGACUGCAACACUAGAAUUACCCAAAAUGCUUUUAACAUAGUCUUAUGUCCAGUUCUAACCUUGGACCACUGAAAUCAGAAUUUCUAGGGAUGAUUCUCAGGCUAUUUUUAACAGACUUUCCAGGUGAUGGUAGUGUGAAGCCAUGAUUAAGAAACACAAGUCUACAUGUAAGGUAAAAUGAAGGAGAGUUGAAAGCUCUUAAGACAGUACCACCUCCAGUCAGCAAGCAAGGGCCCUACCCAGGGGACACAAUUGGGAAUCUCUUUCUCAAAAGUUCUGAGCUCCAUUCAGAUGUCUAGAAUUGGUUCAGGAAUAUAGCAAGUUUCAUGGCCAAACCAGGACCCAUGUGGACCCCAGUCAGCUCCCUUGGAGGUCCUCUUGGAUCCCCCACCCUCCCGGGAGGUGAACCAGACACCUUAAGUGACUAUAUAACUCAUAACUAUAUGGUAAUCUCAGGUCUAGGAGCCAGACCCCCAUUCUAGGAGGGAGAACUGGCAAGAUGUUCUCUCCCAGUGGUUGGCAGAAUAUUUCUUUCAUAGCAUAAGAUUGGGCCACUGGAAUUGUGUUGAUGUACUGAUAUUGAGUGACUCACACCAAACAAAAGAUGAGUUCAGGACUCCAGGCUACCUAGUGGUCCAUGGAAAACUCUUGGGCUGAGCUUGGUAGGUGGGCCUGGUGCAUGCUGGCUGGGCUUAUUCUCACCGUGGAAUCCCCUUUGAUCAUGAUAUACAGAGGUGACAGGGCAGGGGGGUGGGUGCCAGGCAUCCUUUAUCCUGAGCACUCUCUACUACUGGAACCCACAGCAGUCACCAUACCUCUUCCAAAGGCUCCAGGCCAUUUGAGACCGUCUACCUAUCCCUCCUAUGAGCUUUUGAGACUGUUGCUCCAUAAAUUCUAGCCCCCCACUCCCACCAUGAUCCUCUCUUACCUCUGAUUAAUGGAAUACUGUACUCUCUUGGGUAGAGACAUAGUCAUGCCAGACAAGAAAGAGACAUCCCUUACACUAAUAGGGCCACUAUCUACAGUCUACCAGUUGGCUCCCUUGUUGUCCUCCCCACUGAUGGGAGUGUGUGGAAGGGCAGGUCCUGGUCAACCCUGAAAGAGAUCACUCUCUAGGAAUGCCGUGUGCUGCCCAGAGAUGUCAAAAGAGUUGGAAAAUGUGUUGCUCUGUGCUCGUUGCAGUCAGAAUGGUGAACUUAGCAUGACUAGAAGAUGAAUGACCAUGCACAUUGUUCCUGGAUGCUCCAGGUAAGAUGGGCACUGUGGUCCGCAUCAGGAGAGCACAGAAACAAUCUGAGAGUCAUGGAAGACAAGCCUCACAGGCAGCAUGAUGGAUAGCAUGGUGUCAUGAGUAACCAUAUAGCCAGCAGUAAAUAAGUAGCCACAGGAAUGACAGAGGCCAGAAGGUCCAUAUUGACUCACUACCAACAGUUUCUAAAGAGCUGCAGGUUUGCGAGCAAUAGGAAGGUUGACAAGUGUUCCUCUCAGAGUAGUUGUGAAAUUAGCCAGAAAUGGUUGAUUUGAUAGGAAAGAAUAUAAAGAAACGGUUUCAGGCCUGAAGCUAAAGAAACGGUGUCUGGACACUAUGAAUAAUGGUCAUGAAUUGUUUGGACAAUAAACAAACAUAAGUGUCUCUUUUCUAUACGUUUUUCUAAAUCUUUAUCAAUAUGUCACUAUAAUGCAGUUAGGCCCAUGACUUAUGCAAUUUUUAUUUGGUGCUAUUCCCAAAAUAUUCAAAGAGGAUAAAAAUACAUUUUAAGGGACUUGGAUUUGGUUAUGCACCAUUAUAUUUUCUUAAACAUCAUUCACAACCUGAACUGUAUGUGGCUCCUCCAAUGGACCAAGCUCCUAGAAUUUCGUAGGUGAUCAAUUGCAGGCCUGGUCAUUCAUUCAUCUGUGUAUUUCCAGAAGAAGAGCCCCUGACACAUGGUAGGUGUUCACAUAAAUGCUUGAUGAGUAAAUACUGGUCAUACUCGUGCCACUGAUUUUUAUCUUUGUGGGACUAUCAAGGGCACCCGGCCUCCUUCCAUGACACACCUCUGAGUGUUUUUGAUCUCCGGCUGGAGGUUACCCUUUCUGGCUUACAAAGCAUCGUGAGAUGGCUUAUCUCAUCAGCCAGGAGACAUUCCCUGAGCCCACCCUGUGUCUGGCUCUGAAGGACAAGGAUGAGGAGAAAAGUCACUGCUCCCAAAAAAGUAAAAAAACUCCAUGGAAGUAGUCACCAUAUUAAAAGUAGACAUGAUGUUGAAAGGCAGCAUGUUAGGGACAGCAACAGAGGCUCCAACUGACCCACAGGAGUUGGGAGGAGAAAAGUGAAAGUUGGAAGAUGUGGCUUCCCAGGAUGAACUGGAAAGAUAAGUGAGUUUCAGCAGGCAGAAACAGAGGGAAAGAUCUUUCUAGAACUUCAAUAACAGAAUGGAACUCCCUUCCUUAGACCCCUGAUGACUUUUUAUUACACUCAAAUCCUUCCCCUGCCCCCAAGGUCCUACAUGAUUGAGACACCUGCCUCUUCCACCUCAUCUCCCAUCUCUCUCUGUAUCACUCCUGUGUUUUGCUCUCUUUGCUUACCUUGAGGCUCUUCAGACACAUCAAGCUUUUUCCAAUCUUAUGACCUAGAUGUUUGUUCUUUGCUCUGCUAGCACACACCACAGCCCCGAGUCUUCAUGCAGCCAACUCAGGCCUCCUGUUCAAUGUCACCCCCUGACCAACCAUUUAUCUCCCUAUUCUACCAUAUCUUUGACCAUAUGAUACCAUAUCUUUUCCUUUAGAAAAGUGUCUAAAUAUAUAAACAUAUUUGUGUUCCACCUCAUCUUUGGUCUCUCUUUCACAUUUUAAGUUUUAGGAGUCAAGGACUUUGAGGACCUCAUCGACUGCUAUUCCUCUGGCACCUGAAAGAGUGCCCAGCAGGUAGCAGUUUCUCAGUAAAUAUUUUUUUAAUGGAUUAAUGACAAAGGAUUACUUGAUCGAACCCAAAGUUGCCAAGGCCAUGUGCCAUAGACUAUCAGAUACCCCAGGAGGAAUCUGGAUCCAGAACAAGGUGGGGGCAUGGGGUUGCUAUAGCCAGACCCAUGAAGAGCAUGCUACAAAAUUUGAACUUUAUCAUAUAAAGGAUAGGAAACUAAACAAAAAAUGUUGUAAAGAAAUGGUCAUAAAACCCAUGUAGGAAGAUUAACAUGGUGGCAAUGUUGAGAGUGUCUUGAAGAAGGAUCAGAAACUUCAGGUAAAGUGUCCAGUUAGCAGCCAGAAAUUCAGAUAAAAGUAAAUAAAGGCAUUGACAUUUGGAAGAGUGAAGAAAAGGCCAAUUUAAGAGGAAGUAGAACCAUCCAUGCAUUGAUUAUGCAAGAGAAGAUUUAAAUGAUCUCUAUAACUGGGUACAUAGUAGGUACUAGAUAAAUAUUGAUUAAAUAAAUUGACAUGGCUUGGAUGACUGAGUAUGGUGAUUCAAUUGAGCAAAUUAAAAUGUGUAAGGGCAUGAGCAAAUUAGUGGUAGAAGACACGGGAGGUGGAUCUGUGGAUAUGUGGCAUUUGAUCUGCUUAUAAUGCUUCCAAGGGCAUAAGAUUGAGAUAUGAAUCUUACAAGUUGGGGCUGAAAAUGUGACUAGACGGCCACCUGCUAAAGGGGAUUUCUGAAAGGUAGUGAGUGAGGACCAUUGAUUAUUGGGCCAUACCAAACAUGAAAGUGACCACUCAGAGGUGCUUGGGGACCCAGAUGCCUAUCCUGGGAGCAAGGAGCAAAGGCAGGCCUCAACUCCAGGCCUUGUCAGUUCACUUUCAAUCUCUUCAGCCAAGUAUUGCUCUAAGAAUAGAAGAGUUGUGUUAAGCGUUGUUGAUUUGAGAGGGCCUCCGAUGGCUUCAAGUAAAC